GUCUGCGACCAUUUUACCCUGAACAAGCCCGAUCCCGUCUGAUCUUGGAAACUAAGCUGGGUCAGGCCUGGUUAGUACUUGGAUAGGAGACAGCCUAGGAAGACCAGGUGCUGUAGGCA
RNAcentral lists this ribosomal RNA (119 nucleotides) under Pteropus alecto (black flying fox). The record is from RNAcentral. Lineage: Eukaryota; Metazoa; Chordata; Mammalia; Chiroptera; Pteropodidae.